AAAACAUUGUCCACACUGUACUCCUCCCUACUAACAUUAGACACAGGGACAUCCAUGUCUUUCCAAACAGCAUGGCACACCGAACUGGGUCAUGCUAUCGAAGUGGAAACAUGGCAACGGGCAUUCACAAUACACAAGGGGAAUACACUCUGCACAUCCCAUCUAGAGACUAUCUGAAAGCUACAGUACAGAUGGUACAUGGUACCGGAGACACAAAGGUAUACCGAUUGAAUGCUGGAGAUGCAAAGGGAGGGAAGGCUCGAUGAGCCACAUAUGGUGGUCAUGCAAAAACAUCAAACCGUUCUGGAAAGAGGUGGAGAGGGUGGCGACAGAGAUGCUGGGUAGAACUUGGCCCAUAAACAUAGAACAAGGCAUACUAUUCAUGAUACCAACAACACUAGGGAAAACUGAAGAGAGAUUGAUAUUCCACCUUUUAAUAUCAGCAGUGACCAUUAUAGCAAGAGCAUGGAAGUCAACACAGACACCCACCAGAGAAGCCCUAAUAACCCAAACAUCUCUCAACUGGAAAUAUGAGCAAAGAGCAGAUAAA
Pelobates cultripes (western spadefoot toad) is the source of this 550-nucleotide non-coding RNA. The record is from the annotation of a GenBank genome assembly. Lineage: Eukaryota; Metazoa; Chordata; Amphibia; Anura; Pelobatidae.